This is a long non-coding RNA of Pecten maximus, 10493 nucleotides long. RefSeq lists it as uncharacterized. NCBI's taxonomy places the organism in Eukaryota, Metazoa, Mollusca, Bivalvia, Pectinida, Pectinidae. The transcript is spliced from 2 exons. The record is from RefSeq and is a predicted model, not a curated record.
UGGAACCUAUAAAUAUCAUUCAAUGGUGGGCGCCAAGAUCCCUCUGGGAUCUCUUGUUCCUUAUGUUUUUAAAGAUUUGUCAAUGAAAAUUGUGUGGUGCUGCAAGGAAAUAUUUUCAGUUUGUUUCCGUGACUAAUCUAUAAUAUCGGAGGUUGUUACACACCAGCUUCUCUGUAGUCCAUGGUGGUCCUACUAGGGAAGCUUCACUUGUGUCUAAUUUGAAAUGUUAUGUGUCUGUCUUGUCAAAGAAUAUAUUCACUGUGAAGUUUUGUGUAAAUUUGACCUAUUAUUGAUCAUGUAAGGUUACAUUACACUAUUUACCUGAUUUUUUCUCCAUCAAAAAUCUUCACAUUCUUAUUUUUGUUUUAAGAUAUAAGAUCAAAGUCAAAAAACAUAAUAGUGUACUAAAAGUAAGGGAACAAAGUUUACUUAUAAAUGUGUCAAAUUUUCAAUCAGACCAGUCUACUUGAAUCAUAUUUUGAAGAUUUUAAGGGAUUAUAUAUAAUUUUUUCUUUUUUUUUUUAAACUGACAAUUGUUGAAUUUGGACCAAAAAUUAUACGUCACAAUUAUAACAGUAUACUCAACAUUUGGAUAUCAUUGGUACUGAUGACAUGAUGUGGUUAUUAUAAUAAUGUCUUAAUUCAGUGUAGCUGUAAUAAUUCAUCGUUCACUGAUGUAGGAGACUUUGGAUUGGAGCUAAAUGAAAAAGAAUAAAGAAACAGAUUAAUUAUUUAUCACUGUUUACAUACACAUCUUUGUUGAAAAAUGUAACAAUGUUUGUGAUUGGUUGUUAUAACAAGUUGUUUGAUUGGUUGAUAUUAUUCACGAUGUUGCAUAGAUAUAUAAUUGUAUAAUCAUGUUAUUGUAUUGUUUCCAUUAUCCUUUAUUCUUUUCACUUCAAGAUACAAAACAUAUGAUAAAGUGUGGUUUAUAAAUCACACCUCCAUGUUGACGUUUGGUGUAAACGCAAAAUUAAUAAAUACCAAUACUAAAUAAAUGUACUAUUAUCAUCAACAUACAGCUAUAAGAUGGUGCAGUAACAUAAAAUAUAUAGCCAGGGAUUAAUCUAGAAUUUAGGGGAAACUACCCUUUUUGGACCAUAGGGGAAAAUCAGCUCGGAAAAGGGGAAAUUUAAUCAUCACAUGAAUUAAGUCUUUUACUUUAAAAACACAUUUUCCAAGUAAAAACAGCAAAUGGUUAAUUAGGAAAGCAAAUCUUGAGUAUUUGGGAAUAUCAUUGCCAUAAAAAUGAGGGAAAAUACAAUAUUUCAGUGAAUUUAACAGAAAUCUGAGGGGAAAAAUGGAACAAAAUCCUGAGGGGAAACUACCCAUAAAUGGUAGUAAAACAUCCCUAGAUUAAGUCUCUUAGGGAAUUAAUACUUGUUUAUAAUGUGUAGUGUUAAGGUACAGAACACUAUUUACAUGACAAACAGCAUUGCCAGUAGGGGAGGCACUCAAAUCCUCUUAUAAUCAGGAUGUUAGGGGAUCAAAUCCCUGUGGCUGGUUAGUAUUGGAGUUAAAUUAUUAUUAUCUUUAAUACAGAUUUGUAUGUUUAUUUCUUUUAGCCACAUGAACAACCAGAGAGAUUGCAUGGUGUUAAAAGUAUCGCCCAAAAACAUCCAUGACAGUACAAGCAGUCUGUGAUUUCAGUUUUCCUGAGAAACUCAAAGUAAACAAAUACAGAACAAUAUAAACAUUACCGUUAUUAGAUAUACGGGACAAAAGACAGACAACUCAAAGUAAACAAAUACAGAACGAUAUAUAAACAUUACCGUUAUUAGAUAUAUAUGGGACAAAAGACAGACAACUCAAAGUAAACAAAUACAGAACAAUAUAAACAUUACCGUUAUAGAUAUACGGGACAAAAGACAGACAACUCAAAGUAAAUAAUUACAGAACAAUAUAAACAUUACCGUUAUUAGAUAUACGGGACAAAAGACAGACAACUCAAAGUAAACAAUUACAGAACAAUAUAAACAUUACCGUUAUAGAUAUACGGGACAAAAGACAGACAACUCAAAGUAAACAAAUACAGAACAAUAUAAACAUUACCGUUAUAGAUAUACGGGACAAAAGACAGACAACUCAAAGUAAACAAAUACAGAACAAUAUAAACAUUACCGUUAUAGAUAUACGGGACAAAAGACUGACAACUCAAAGUAAACAAUUACAGAACAAUAUAAACAUUACCGUUAUAGAUAUACGGGACAAAAGACAGACAACUCAAAGUAAACAAUUACAGAACAAUAUAAACAUUACCGUUAUAGAUAUACGGGACAAAAGACUGACAACUCAAAGUAAACAAAUACAGAACAAUAUAAACAUUACCGUUAUUAGAUAUACGGGACAAAAGACAGACAACUCAAAGUAAACAAAUACAGAACAAUAUAAACAUUACCGUUAUUAGAUAUACGGGACAAAAGACUGACAACUCAAAGUAAACAAAUACAGAACAAUAUAAAAAUUACCGUUAUUAGAUAUACGGGACAAAAGACAGACAACUCAAAGUAAACAAAUACAGAACAAUAUAAACAUUACCGUUAUUAGAUAUACGGGACAAAAGACUGACAACUCAAAGUAAACAAAUACAGAACAAUAUAAAAAUUACCGUUAUUAGAUAUACGGGACAAAAGACAGACAACUCAAAGUAAACAAAUACAGAACAAUAUAAACAUUACCGUUAUUAGAUAUACGGGACAAAAGACUGACAACUCAAAGUAAACAAAUACAGAACAAUAUAAACAUUACCGUUAUUAGAUAUACGGGACAAAAGACAGACAACUCAAAGUAAACAAAUACAGAACAAUAUAAACAUUACCGUUAUUAGAUAUACGGGACAAAAGACUGACAACUCAAAGUAAACAAAUACAGAACAAUAUAAAAAUUACCGUUAUUAGAUAUACGGGACAAAAGACAGACAACUCAAAGUAAACAAAUACAGAACAAUAUAAACAUUACCGUUAUAGAUAUACGGGACAAAAGACUGACAACUCAAAGUAAACAAUUACAGAACAAUAUAAACAUUACCGUUAUUAGAUAUACGGGACAAAAGACAGACAACUCAAAGUAAACAAAUACAGAACAAUAUAAACAUUACCGUUAUUAGAUAUACGGGACAAAAGACAGACAACUCAAAGUAAACAAAUACUGAACAAUAUAAACAUUACCGUUAUUAGAUAUACGGGACAAAAGACAGACAACUCAAAGUAAACAAAUACUGAACAAUAUAAACAUUACCGUUAUUAGAUAUACGGGACAAAAGACAGACAACUCAAAGUAAACAAAUACAGAACAAUAUAAAAAUUACAGUUAUUAGAAAAACGGGACAAAAGACAGACAACUCAAAGUAAACAAAUACAGAACAAUAUAAACAUUACCGUUAUUAGAUAUACCGGACAAAAGACAGACAACUCAAAGUAAACAAAUACAGAACAAUAUAAACAUUACCGUUAUUAGAUAUACGGGACAAAAGACAGACAACUCAAAGUAAACAAAUACAGAACAAUAUAAACAUUACCGUUAUUAGAUAUACGGGACAAAAGACAGACAACUCAAAGUAAACAAAUACAGAACAAUAUAAAAAUUACAGUUAUUAGAAAAACGGGACAAAAGACAGACAACUCAAAGUAAACAAAUACAGAACAAUAUAAACAUUACCGUUAUUAGAUAUACGGGACAAAAGACAGACAACUCAAAGUAAACAAAUACAGAACAAUAUAAAAAUUACAGUUAUUAGAAAAACGGGACAAAAGACAGACAACUCAAAGUAAACAAAUACAGAACAAUAUAAAAAUUACAGUUAUUAGAAAAACGGGACAAAAGACAGACAACUCAAAGUAAACAAAUACAGAACAAUAUAAACAUUACCGUUAUUAGAGAUACGUGAAACUAUAGCUGCAUGGUUGUCUGAAGAUAGAAAUAUCUAAUUUUAUUUCAUACUGAAUCACACAGAUUCACGUUGUUUAAAAUUUCUAAAAAUAGAGUCAUACUUAGGUGGUCUGUAAUAUGAUGACUGUGUAACUGAUAAAAACUACACAUUUUUGUAUACUCUGAUGAACUCUAGUCAUUUAAAUCUCAGGACAACAGUUAUAAGAUGUCACUCAGGUUAGUAACGAGAACAGAAAUAUGCCAGUAAAUGUUUUAUUGCAGUAAACAUUUUGUAUUUAGUAUUACCCACUGUAGUUGAGCCGAAAUAUACCAUGACAGUGUAUUAGUAUAGUUGGUCAUACUAACACAUCAUGUUACUUCUGGUAACCAUAGCGAUACAGUUAAUAAUAUGUUAGGGAGUGUAGGUACACCUACUGUUACUAAUUAAAAUACACAGGUGUGUCAACAAUCUACUGUUACUAAUUAAAAUACACAGGUGUGUCAACAAUCUACUGUUACUAAUUAAAAUACACAGGUGUGUCAACAAUCUACUGUUACUAAUUAAAAUACACAGGUGUGUCAACAAUCUACUGUAGGGAGUGUAGGUUCAUAUACUGUAACUAAUUAAAAUACACAGGUGUGUCAACAAUCUACUGUAACUAAUUAAAAUACACAGGUGUGUCAACAAUCUACUGUAACUAAUUAAAAUACACAGGUGUGUCAACAAUCUACUGUAACUAAUUAAAAUACACAGGUGUGUCAACAAUCUACUGUAACUAAUUAAAAUACACAGGUGUGUCCACAAUCUACUGUAACUAAUUAAAAUACACAGGUGUGUCAACAAUCUACUGUAGGGAGUGUAUAGGUACAUCUAUUGUUACUAAUUAAAAUACACAGGUGUGUAAACAAUCUACUGUUACUAAUUAAAAUACACAGGUGUGUCAACAAUCUACUGUUACUAAUUAAAAUACACAGGUGUAGCUACAUCUACUGUUACUAAUUAAGAAACACAGGUGUGUCAACAAUCUACUGUUACUAAUUAAAAUACACAGGUGUGUCAACAAUCUACUGUUACUAAUUAAAAUACACAGGUGUGUCAACAAUCUACUGUUACUAAUUAAAAUACACAGGUGUGUCAACAAUCUACUGUAGGGAGUGUAUAGGUACAUCUACUGUUACUAAUUAAAAUACACAGGUGUGUCAACAAUCUACUGUGACUAAUUAAAAUACACAGGUGUGUCAACAAUCUACUGUGACUAAUUAAAAUACACAGGUGUGUCAACAAUCUACUGUUACUAAUUAAAAUACACAGGUGUGUCAACAAUCUACUGUGACUAAUUAAAAUACACAGGUGUGUCAACAAUCUACUGUUACUAAUUAAAAUACACAGGUGAGACAACAAUCUACUGUAGGGAGUGUAGGUACAUCUACUGUUACUAAUUAAAAUACACAUGUGUGUCAACAAUCUACUGUGACUAAUUAAAAUACACAGGUGUGUCAACAAUCUACUGUUACUAAUUAAAAUACACAGGUGAGACAACAAUCUACUGUAGGGAGUGUAUAAGUACAUCUACUGUUACUAAUCAUGACACUAAUUGACAUUAUAUAAGUUUAAUUAAUACACCUGAACAAUAAAUAGGUUAACAUUACCUGGAAAAGAAACAAUCAUCGUCAAUGGCCAACAUGUCAAUUCUACUCGACAGUCCAAGUUGUUGUGGUCGGGGGAUUUCACAAAGUUAAGUCUACCCUAGAUUGUUUCCAGGAAAGAUUAAAUUGGUGAAAGUUGGAAUGAUUCAGUGAUAGAUAGUAUGGGUCUCUCGUACAGCUCAUUCUACCUGUGGAAUGGUUCAGUGAUAGAUAGUAUGGGUCUCUCGUACAGCUCAUUCUACCUGAUGAAAUAUGUCAAUACUGUAUGUUUCAUGCAGUGAGUUGUUUACCAUGUAUUUCAUCUUUUACAUACUAUAUAGAUUUGUUUGAUUUUUUGUAUUGACAAUGAUUUACACAUACAUUCUGUUAUUGUUUCAUUAUCUCAGUAUCUUGGUCAUUGUUAUACACAAGGUCAUUGUUAUACCCACAGUCAUUGUUAAAACAUUGUUAUACACUAGGUCAUUGUUAUACAAUUUAUCAUUGUAUUGUCGUAAACAUUUGUUUGGUUCAUUUUUAAAGCUUACUCAAAUAUAGAAUGUUAAACUUCCUGGAAAGAUGAUCUGUUUGUUUCAAUUUAUAUGUAAAAGUGAGAAUUUAGGAAUUUUAUACAAAGUUAGAGAAAUUUCAAAAUUAAAAUGUUAUUUGGAAGAUGAACAAUACAAACAUCAGGAUGGAUGAAAUGCCGUUAUAAGAUUGACAUAUAUUUUGUACUUGAUAAAUUUUAUUCAUCAUGUGAUAAUUGUUUGUUGAUGUUGUGUCCUGUGAAUAGUCCUGAUAAAAUUGUUAUAAUGAGGUCAAGGUUACAGUUAGGGUCAUAUGAUAUAUAAUUGUUAUAAUAAGGUCAAGGUUACAGUAAGGGUCAUAUGCUAUAUAACUGUUAUAAUAAGGUCAAGGUUACAGUUAGGGUCAUAUGCUAUAUAACUGUUAUAAUUAGGUUAAGGUUACAGUUAGGGUCAUAUGAUAUAUAAUUGUUAUAAUUAGGUCAAGGUUACAGUUAGGGUCAUAUGAUAUAUAACUGUUAUAAUAAGGUCAAGGUUACAGUUAGGGUCAUAUGAUAUAUAAUUGUUAUAAUAAGGUCAAGGUUACAGUUAGGGUCAUAUGCUAUAUAACUGUUAUAAUUAGGUCAAGGUUACAGUUAGGGUCAUAUGAUAUAUAAUUGUUAUAAUAAGGUCAAGGUUACAGUUCAGGUCAUAUGCUAUAUAACUGUUAUAAUUAGGUCAAGGUUACAGUUAGGGUCAUAUGAUAUAUAACUGUUAUAACUAGGUCAAGAUUACAGUUAGGGUCAUAUGAUAUAUAACUGUUAUAACUAGGUCAAGAUUACAGCUAUUGUCAGGAUACAAUUGCAGUAGUAAGGUGAAAGUUGCAAUUAUGGUCAUGAUACAAUUGUAGUAAUUUGGUCAAGGUCACAGAUUAGGCUUAGGUCACAGUUAUGGUCAUGAUACAAUUGCAAUAAUUAGGUCAAGGUAACAAUGAAAUCAAGUUUUAUGGGAGGUGACUAUGUGCGUACAUGAUUGAUAUCUUGUAAGGCCAUCUUGAAUAUUAUUGAUUUAUGUGUCAAAUAAUUUGAUAAAUGUUAAUUAAUAUGGUGUUUAAGUCUGAAACUAAAUAUGGCAGGUUUCACUGAUUGGAGUAUUGUUUGCCAUUAAUGAUUCACUGUACUAAGUUUUCUUUGCCUCAAACUCUAAAAAAGUUAUAACUAAUAAACCAUGCAGUAUUGUCAGUGCUAUUUUCAAGCUGUAAUUUAUUGAAAUAACUUGCGAUUCUCUGUUCUCAUUGAGAACUACCUGUACGUGUAAAUUUUAUCAAAGACAUGAGUUGAAGGAGAAAAUAAACAUGUAUACCUGGUCAUGUAUACCUGGUUUAUAGUUUUGCUUUAAAAAAGACAGGACAGCUUUGUUUGAAAGUUUUCUAUUAAAAAUGGUAUGAAAACGUUUUUUUUUUCUUUUUCAAAAUUGACAGGGAAAAAAAAGAAUAUAUUUUUGUCUCAGUAAUUGAUUAGGAGAUACCAAUUACCUAUAAGUCCACAUAAUAACCCAUGCUUAUUGUUAUUGUUCUUUUUAAUGUAUUGUUUUCAUUGAAAAGAAAGAUAAGAGGGGGACUGGUAUGGUAUUAGUUACUGUUAAUGGAGUGAGUCGUGUUGAUCUAUGACACAAGGUCAAAGUCUAUUGGAUGAAUUCACUCUUUCCACCUUUUACGCCACUUGUACUACGUGGCAGUCCCCUAAAGAUCCAAGUCUGUUGGGUCACUCUUUCCACCUUCCCAAUGUAUAUACAUGACCAAAUGUAUUAGUAAUAUUAUAGGGCGUACUAUUGUUUGAGAUAACAUUGUUGUGUACACUAGCUGAGCUAAUGGUGCUUUAACGAUUAUUACUAAUUAAUGUGAUGUAUAUUUUAAAAACCUCACAGAUUAGUUUUAAAUAUUGUUUAUAUAGUGUUUGUCUAGAUUGUCUGGCUAUUGCUUAGAAGAAAAACUAAUCCGAAAAAUAGCACAUAUUACCAUUUAUAACUUUAUAUGUACAAUUAUUAAAUACCGAGUAAUAUUGUCAUUUGUUUGAUAAUUAGAAGAAUCCAGGAUUUUAUAUCUGAUUCAGAAAACAUUUGUAUUAUAUAUACUACUGGUGUUCCUUCAAUAUAAGGACAAUAUAAACCUUUUUUUCCCUCUUCUCUCAAUGUGGCAAUUACAGAAAAGAACCUGCAAAACAGCUGAAAUCCAUUAUUUAUUUGUGUGGCUCUAGUUACUGUUUUUUUUAUCUGUCAUCCUGCCACACAAUAAAACCUACAUCAAACCCCUCUGUCUAUUAUAUUGACAUAAUCGUGCUCAAAAUGAUGAUAAAUUUGACAAUCAGUGAAUUAAUAGCUUUAUAGUCAGUUUGAUGUAACUUUCCUCUGAAAAACACACUCAAGCAUUCAUACAGCCAUUCAUAUAGCCACGGAUAAGAAUCUAGAUAACUAAGGUCCAUUGGAUGUAUAUACUUAAACACCAAACAUUUCACAGAGUAUUUUUUUAAACAUAAACAAAUGUGAUAUGUUAGCAUGUUUGUAUUAAAUAUCAAGAAUCCAUUUUAUCCAAGAGUACUAGUUUAAUGGAUAAAUAGCUCAGUAAUAAUGUGGACAUUUUCCCUGGAAGUUUUCCGAUCUGCCAUAUCCUCCCCAUAUCUGCUAGUGUAGAUCUGUUUUUGAUUUUAAUAUUGUUUAAUUAAUAUAUACAAACAGGAAAUUAACAAGAAUUGUUAUGUUUAGUCCUCUGUGUUCCGCCCGCCACAAUUUGAAAGUCUUAUAUAUGUAUAUGUGACUUAAAGAGAUAUCACUUUUCAUUAUUGUUGGUAUACAGUUGGUUGUUUGUAUUAUAAAAAUCACGAUAAUGUUCAUAUCUCUAGAUGUUCUCUAGAUCACGAUAAUGUUCAUAUCUCUAGAUGUUCUCUAGAUCAUGAUAAUGUUCAUAUCUCUAGAUGUUCCAGAACGUCAAGGUUUGACCUCAACACAAAUAUUAAGGCUGUCAGGCACCAGUAAUCUAUCAAUCUGGUUGUCUGAUAAUCUGUUGGAACAGAUUGGCCAAUAAUCUGGUGGUCUGUCAAUCUAUUAGAACAGAUUGGCCAAUAAUCUUGUUGCCCGACAAUCUGUUCGAACAGAUUGGCCAAUAAUCUUGUUGUCCGAUAAUCUGUUGGAACAGAUUGGCAAAUAAUCUUGUUGCCUGAUUAUCUGUUGGAACAGAUUGGCCAAUAAUCUUGUUGCCCGACAAUCUGUUCGAACAGAUUGGCCAAUAAUCUGGUGGUCUGUCAAUCUAUUAGAACAGAUUGGCCAAUAAUCUUGUUGCCCGACAAUCUGUUCGAACAGAUUGGCCAAUAAUCUUGUUGUCCGAUAAUCUGUUGGAACAGAUUGGCAAAUAAUCUUGUUGCCUGAUUAUCUGUUGGAACAGAUUGGCCAAUAAUCUUGUUGUCCGACAAUCUGUUCGAACAGAUUGGCCAAUAAUCUGGUUGUCUGACAAUUCAUUGGAACAGAUUGGCCAAUAAUCUUGUUGUCCGACAAUCUCUUGGAACAGAUUGGCCAAUAAUCUGGUUGUCUGACAAUCUCUUGGAACAGAUUGGCCAAUAAUCUUGUUGCCCGACAAUCUCUUGGAACAGAUUGGCCAAUAAUCUGGUUGUCUGACAAUCUCUUGGAACAGAUUGGCCAAUAAUCUUGUUGCCCGACAAUCUCUUGGAACAGAUUGGCCAAUAAUCUGAUUGUCUGACAAUCAAUUGGAACAGAUUGGCCAAUAAUCUUGUUGUCCGACAAUUCCAUUGGAACAGAUUGGCCAAUAAUCUUGUUGUCCGACAAUUCCAUUGGAACAGAUUGGCCAAUAAUCUUGUUGUCCGACAAUCGGUUUGAACAGACUGGCCAAUAAUCUGGUUGUCUGACAAUUCAUUGGAACAGAUUGGCCAAUAAUCUUGUUGCCCGAUAAUCUGUUGGAACAGAUUGGCCAAUAAUCUGGUUGUCUGACAAUUCAUUGGAACAGAUUGGCCAAUUAUCUGGUUGUCUGAUAAUCUGUUGGAACAGUUUAACCAAUAAUCUGGUUGUCGGAUUUGCCAAUGAGUGGUUAUCUGACCAGCAUGUGUAACAGACUGGCCAAUAAUUUGGUUGUCUUUAACUUGUUGUCAGACCAACAUUUGUAACUAAUUAACAGAUAAUCUGGUUGUCUGAUAGACUAGCAAUUUGGCCAUUUUAUGGAAUUUUUACUGUACAAUCUUUUUCCAGGAAUGGAUGUGAUUGGAUUAUAGAGGCUCUGUUUAAGAAUGUUCCAGUUGUCUUUUCACACAAUAUUUGUUGUAAAUAAAACAGUGCUACAAUGUGAUUAGUUAAAUAUAACUCUCAGAUUUAUCAUAUUUUUAUCAAUAUUGUUUGUUGUUUUUGUGGAAAAAUCUGGAAUAUGCGAUUUUUUUCUCAUUUAAUUAAAAUAAUGAUGUAUACUAAAAUAUUGACAAUUAAAUGUUUUUAUGAACAAGA